GUGCUCGCUUUGGCAGUACAUAUACUAAAAUUGGAAUGAUACAGAGAAGAUUAGCAUGGCCCCUGCACAAGGAUGACAUGCAAAUUCGUGAAGCAUUCCAUAUUUUU
This is a small nuclear RNA of Gorilla gorilla gorilla (western lowland gorilla), 107 nucleotides long. NCBI's taxonomy places the organism in Eukaryota, Metazoa, Chordata, Mammalia, Primates, Hominidae. The record is from Ensembl.